RNAcentral lists this long non-coding RNA (1799 nucleotides) under Monodelphis domestica (gray short-tailed opossum). RNAcentral describes it as "lncRNA (ENSMODG00000051027.1)". Lineage: Eukaryota; Metazoa; Chordata; Mammalia; Didelphimorphia; Didelphidae. The record is from RNAcentral.
CUUUGGCUUUCUUUAGAAGUCCUAAAUGAAAUAGGAAAUUGAGGCUUUUAUUGAAAUGAUAAAGAAAAAUACAUUUUCUUUGAGCAUCUAUCAUCUAGAUUUGUGGUGGAUGGGUGGGGAAGUGUUAUUUUGGACUUAAUUGCAUAUAAUUUUUUUUAAUUUGCUUGUGACCUUUUGUGGCCAUGAAUGAGGCAAGUAGGGUCUGAGAACAGAAAACAAAACGUGUAUGUCUUUUUUUUCCUUAUAAACCUUAUCAAAACAUACCCUAACUGUAUUUCUAGUCAUUAAUUUGUUAGAGUUAUUGAAAUAUUGUGGUAAGGAGAAAUCAUAGGUUUAUAAUCUGGAAUCAUAUAAGUACAAUCUUGGUUAGUUUGUUGUGCUAGGAGAUUUGGUGAAUAUCUUAUUUAAUACACCUUAUAUUGGUUACUCGCUUUUGAGGUUGCAUUCAAUGACAAAAUUGUCAAAUGACAAAAAUGUGUCAUAUUUCUAAAUUUCCUUUGGUUUAAGAAACUCUAAGGAUGAUUUUUUUUAUUGUAUUCCUAGUCUUAUCCCAGAGAUGUAUUCACUAGUACUAAUUAAAAUUUCUGUCCUACUCCUUACCCUGUAGGAAAUACUAUCACACCUGCCACACAGUGGCUUGGAGGACUUCCUGUAUUUUUUACGAAACUCAGUUGCAAGAUGGUGCUACAUUGGAAAAUGAUGACUUCUAUGAUGGUAGAGGAAAAGUGGACAUUCUGAAUUUACCUGUAAGACAUAAUUGCAAUGGAAGACUGUGGAAAGAUAUGGUAAUGUUCAAAAGAAGACAAAAUCAACUCAUUUUAAUAUGUCAAGACAAAUCUUAAGUAAAUUUUUUUUUGUGAAAUUGGCAUUUAAAGAUUAUUUUUAUUCCACCUAUAAUCCAAUGUACCAAUAUCUCUAAAAUCCAGUGGGGCUUAUGGAUAUUUAAAGAGUACUAGUAAUUCUGGUGUGAUGGCUUGGUGAGGUUUUUUCAGAGUUGCACAUUAAUUUUGUGGUGUCCACCUCACACUCAACUCUCACCCAGGCCUCUAAUAAGUUGUAGUAUGAACUUUAAUCUUAUUCCAACAAACCAUCUUAUCAGAUGAUCUAAACCAAGUUGAGGGUAAUCAAUAAUCCACAAAUCCACUGGUGAGUUACAGGAGUAUCUACCUCAAAUAUGUGAAGAUUUCUCCCAGCAAAGCGAUCAGAUUAGAGCAAUUUUUUCCAAUGGCAUUGAAGAUGGUUGAAGCACUUAGAGCUUGGUCAGAUAUUAAAGAUGCCAACAUUAUCCAUUGUAUCAUGAGCCAUCAUCACUAGGUAUCCAGUCUUUUGCCUUAACAUUGGACUUCAAUGAUUCUGUAAGGGAAAGUAAGCUGAUAAUUUUGUACAGCUCUGCCUCACUUAAAUCCAAUUUAUAAUUAAGUCAAGACAUUGUCCUGUGAUAUAAUUAGUCUUCUUUGAAAAUAAUGAACAAAGUCCAAUAUGCAGAAAUAGUAUGGUAAUGUGGAAAGUGUUGGACUUGGAGUAAGGAAGACUUUGGUUAGAAUCGCACAUCAGAGAUUUAGGGAUUCCUGAUUCCUUAGAAAAAGGGCUCAGAAUGUAGCAAUUAAGGAGCCCAUUCCUAGUGAAAGAAAAAAAAUGGUGUAUCUUAAUGGCAAGGUUGGUCGGAGUGAAAUUCCUUUAUCUUAGCUUAGUGCAAGGAUGUCCAUUUUAUUCCUUAAAAAAUCCAGCCCAGAUACAAGGAGUAGUCUGAGUCCCAUAACAAGAUUCCAAGACUAUCCUUAGAUCAAGCUAGAUUUGCU